GAUUGGGGGUAGAGUAGACGCCGGAGAGGGCACAAACUAGAUCUAUGGGCAGGGACAGGAGCUGAACAAGUUUACUCAUGUGCUGGGAAGAUGGUCUCAGUUCAGCAUCACACCACCCCGCAGCACCCCCCCCCGCAACACCCCCCCGCAACACCCCACCCCAUUCCAGCUCUUCAUGUUCAGUUCACACUUCCCCUUAAAUAUUGGUAGUAAGGAUGCUUGGAUUUGGCCAAUUUGGCCACCUAUCCAUGGUUCGGGUCACUUCCUGACAGUAGCUGUAGGGGUGGACCUUGUUUUCCCUAGUCCCCUUCCCUCAGGCCCCUUCCCUCAGGCCCACAGUGUGGAUGAAAAGGAGACAGCAGUCAGGGAAUCUCGUGUCAAGCUUUAUUUGGCAGGUGGCUUUGCUCAGUACUCAGAUCUCGUGGCUCCUUGGCAGCUCAGGGCUCAGACAUCGAAAUGGAAUGGUGGUGUGGCCUCACGUUGACGUUGCUUGGGCAGCAGGCUCCUGUUUUUCAUCGGACAGUGGCAUUUUUCAAGAUGUGGCGAGAUGCUCUUGAAGUCUGGUAAAAUUCUCAGGCAGGAGUUUUGAUGGACUUGCUAUUCUGUGCAUCUAGUAUUUUUUACACCUUAUGGUGUAUGAGCGGCGGCGACGGCAGCAUCCUAGAAAGCAUCGCCUCCUCCGUCUGCGACAUCUUCGCCUGCGACGGCGGCAUCUGCUCCUGCUUUUGCUGCGGCAGCAUCGGUACCUGGCCAUGGUGCUGGCUUGGCCUGGAGCUGGCUCAGAGCAGGGGACACCACCUGAGUCGAGCCAGCCAACCUGUGAGCAGGCACCUUCUUGACAGCUGCUUCUCAAUGUUUCUGAAGUAUCUAAAGAUGCAGAGGGGACCGCGAAGCGGGGAGCAAGCAGAUGUGUGGGGAUGUGAAAAGUGUAUGGAGAAGGCCUCAAACAAACAUCACCUUUCCCAUCAA
Long non-coding RNA from Mus pahari (shrew mouse), 969 nucleotides. RefSeq lists it as uncharacterized. The record is from RefSeq and is a predicted model, not a curated record. Lineage: Eukaryota; Metazoa; Chordata; Mammalia; Rodentia; Muridae. The transcript is spliced from 4 exons.